UACAGAGGGUGCGAGCGUUAAUCGGAAUUACUGGGCGUAAAGCGCGCGUAGGCGGCUUUGCAAGUCGGGUGUGAAAUCCCCAGGCUUAACCUGGGAACUGCAUUCGAGACUGCAUUGCUAGAGUAUGGGAGAGGGAAGUGGAAUUUCAGGUGUAGCGGUGAAAUGCGUAGAUAUCUGAAGGAACAUCAGUGGCGAAAGCGACUUCCUGGACCAAUACUGACGCUCAUGCACGAAAGCGUGGGGGGCAAACAGG
This 253-nucleotide ribosomal RNA is filed under the name uncultured bacterium. Its description in RNAcentral is "partial 16S ribosomal RNA". It matches the Rfam family "Bacterial small subunit ribosomal RNA", at positions 524 to 776 of the family's 1533-position model. The record is from RNAcentral.